This 1965-nucleotide long non-coding RNA is filed under the name Homo sapiens (human). RNAcentral describes it as "HSALNT0360454". The record is from RNAcentral. Lineage: Eukaryota; Metazoa; Chordata; Mammalia; Primates; Hominidae.
UUUUCAGGUGUUGGAAGCCCCGGAGCCUCACAGGGGACCACGCCCACUGCCAGGAGCUGCAGCGAUUCCCCUUUUGUGGUCAGGGAGGCCGUGGAGCCCUGGGUGACCCUGUGACUUCCCAGGCUGCAGGUGGGAUUGAGCCAGGCACUGCGCACGCAGCACUGUGAGCCGCUGGCCCAGGCCAGGCUCCAGAGAUGGGAGCUCCGCGGGUUCACAGUCGUCUGUGACAGCAGAGCUGAGGGGAGGACGCAGACCCUGGCCUGACCUUGGGCUACCUCUCAGGGUUAGGCCACUGCCUCUGCUGCAGACCCAGGCGGCGCCCAAAGCCUGGGCGUCCCUCCGCUGCAGUGAAAGGGAAAAGAAAACCGGGCUGCGGUAAUGCCUGGAGCCAAAAUCUCAGGGAGAAGCCCAGCUCCCGACACCUACCCUCUUAAAGUGCAGUUGGAUUGAAUGAGGCUAAAGGAAGUAACAGGAACCCCGGCCUGGAGGAAGGAGCACGUGCUAUGGGCCUCAGAGGGUGGCAGAGGAGGUCUGCAGGGGCGAGAAUCUCGGACAGAGCCGAGGCACAGGUGAGCGGUGCCCGGCACAGCAGCCUGGUAGAUGGGAUCGGGGCGGACAGCGGGGGAGAGCGGAGAGGGGUCCGCCUGGGUUCACACCCCAACACCCACCAGGAGCCCCUGGGAACCAGUCAGGCCCCCAGCCCAAUCCCAGUUUCCCCAGGCCACUGCUGGAACAAAAAGCCUCACUGCAGACAAUGGGCCCUUUCUGUAGAUGCCCGCUCGGGGCUGGGCACAAUCGCCGAUUCAUAAGCCAGGCAAGGCCCCACAAUACCCAGGCUGUGUCCAAGAAGGACACCGACGGGAACUCGGAGAGGCCAGUGUCUUUGGUGGGGAAAGGCUGCUCCCUGGUGGUCCACAGGGGCAGUGCGCAUGACCAGGGCUCCCAGACUUCAGGCAAGGAUGAUGGCGGAGAGACACGGCUUAGAAGUCAUCCCACCAUAUGGACGGGGAAACUGAGGCCCAGAGACAUGCAGAGACUUGGCUCGGACUGUUUUCUUCAAUGUGAGAUAGGAUUUGAAGGGGGAAAGUGAAGGAGUUAUUUCACCUGAUGUGUUAAGUGCGGAGUGAGGUAGGUGGGAUUUAGAGGGGAAAGCGAAGAAGGAGUUAUUUCACUCAAAGUGCGGAGUGACGAAGAUGAAGGAACACGAGGUAGCCGGGCAGUGGGUGCUGAGUUGGCUGACACUGGCUUCCUUCCAGAGCGCAGGGGUGCAUCCUUCCGAACCUCGCAUUCAGUGACGUCACCUUGGUGAUUUGAAGUAGGCCCUGGUGGAAGUAUUUACACCAUGGACAUCAGCAAAUGCAACCAAGACCUCCCGCUACCCUGGAGAGCUGGGUUUAAGACAUUUGCCAGCACACCACUGCCCAGGGACCAGUCUCAGCUCCAGAGCUGUGGGUUAUUGGUAAAGGAUGUGAUUUCAUUGAGCCUCAGUUUCUGUAUCUGUAAAGCAGGAAUCUAUCACUUAUGAAAUAUCCUGUGCAGGCACAAUCUUAGGUGUGGAGGAUACAAUACAACUCUUUGUAAUAGUUAAUUUUAUGCAUCAACUUGACUGGAUCACAGUGUGCCCAGAUAUUUGAUCAAACAUUAUUCUGAGUGUUUCCGUGACAAUGUUUUUGGAUACAAUCAACAUUUAUUUAAUUGGUUGAAGACCUGAAUAGAACAAAGAGUUCAAUUCUCUCAAGUAAGAGAAUUCCUCCUGUCUGACUACUUCAGAAUUGGGACAUUGGCUUUUUCCUGCCUCUACACUACAACUACACCAUCAAGCCUUCAGACAUGGAAAGGAACCACACUAUUGGCUCUCCUCGGUCUUCAGCUUGCCAACUCAAUGCAGAUCUUUGCAUUUGUCAGCCUUAUAACCAUGUGAGCUAAUUCCCUAAAAUAAAUGUCCUCAUUUAAAUGUAUUUCCUA